Molecule: ribosomal RNA, 648 nt
Filed under: uncultured bacterium
Lineage: Bacteria
Description: bacterial SSU rRNA
Rfam family: Bacterial small subunit ribosomal RNA
Source: RNAcentral
CAUGCAAGUCGAACGAGACCUUCGGGUCUAGUGGCGCACGGGUGCGUAACGCGUGGGAAUCUGCCCUCUGGUACGGAAUAACUCAGGGAAACUUGAGCUAAUACCGUAUAAUGACUUCGGUCCAAAGAUUUAUCGCCUGAGGAUGAGCCCGCGUCGGAUUAGCUAGUUGGUGAGGUAAAAGCUCACCAAGGCGACGAUCCGUAGCUGGUCUGAGAGGAUGAUCAGCCACACUGGGACUGAGACACGGCCCAGACUCCUACGGGAGGCAGCAGUGGGGAAUAUUGGACAAUGGGCGCAAGCCUGAUCCAGCCAUGCCGCGUGAGUGAUGAAGGCCCUAGGGUUGUAAAGCUCUUUCAACGGUGAAGAUAAUGACGGUAACCGUAGAAGAAGCCCCGGCUAACUUCGUGCCAGCAGCCGCGGUAAUACGAAGGGGGCUAGCGUUGUUCGGAAUUACUGGGCGUAAAGCGCACGUAGGCGGAUUGUUUAGUUAGGGGUGAAAUCCCAGGGCUCAACCCUGGAACUGCCUCUAAUACUGGCAAUCUAGAGUCCGAGAGAGGUGAGUGGAAUUCCGAGUGUAGAGGUGAAAUUCGUAGAUAUUCGGAGGAACACCAGUGGCGAAGCGGCUCACUGGCUCGGUACUGACGCUGA